CGGACGGGUGAGUAACGCGUGAGAAUCUGCCUUAAGGACUGGGACAACAGCUGGAAACGGCUGCUAAUACCAGAUAUGCCAAUAAGUGAAACGGGUAAAACCGCCUUUUGAUGAGCUCGCGUCUGAUUAGCUAGUUGGUGGGGUAAAAGCCUACCAAGGCAUCGAUCAGUAACUGGUCUGAGAGGAUGAUCAGUCACACUGGGACUGAGACACGGCCCAGACUCCUACGGGAGGCAGCAGUGGGGAAUUUUCCGCAAUGGGCGAAAGCCUGACGGAGCAAUACCGCGUGAGGGAGGAAGGCUCUUGGGUUGUAAACCUCUUCUCUCAGGGAAGAACAAAAUGACGGUACCUGAGGAAUAGGCAUCGGCUAACUCCGUGCCAGCAGCCGCGGUAAUACGGAGGAUGCAAGCGUUAUCCGGAAUGAUUGGGCGUAAAGCGUCCGCAGGUGGCUUUGCAAGUCUGCUGUCAAAGCUCAGGGCUUAACCCUGAAUCGGCGGUGGAAACUGAAAAGCUAGAGUGCGGUAGGGGUAGAGGGAAUUCCCAGUGUAGCGGUGAAAUGCGUAAAGAUUGGGAAGAACAUCGGUGGCGAAAGCGCUCUACUGGACUGCAACUGACACUUCAUGGACGAAAAGCUACGGGAGCGAAUGGGAUUAGAUACCCCAGUAGUC
Molecule: ribosomal RNA, 668 nt
Filed under: uncultured bacterium
Lineage: Bacteria
Description: bacterial SSU rRNA
Rfam family: Bacterial small subunit ribosomal RNA
Source: RNAcentral